UGCAGAUGGAAAUGAGCAAUCUUGCUAUAAUUUGGUACAGAACAUAUCUGUCUUUGAGCUUAAUGUUUCUGUGCCUUGUCCCUUCAAAUAAGGACUAAACUAUCAUCAGCAACGCUUCAUUAUUACAUGAGCAUGGCAUCAUGUCCUGCAUUUUUGUGACCACUCCGAUGUGUUUACCAGCCGUCAAAGAAAUCCCGGAUGGAGUUGUCAUUUCCAGCCAUCCACCGUUGUGACUGGUAAUGCGCACCGAAAUGGGGUACAGUGACAGGUACUUGAAGUCGGAUGGAUGUUUUGUACUAAAAACAAAUAUAAAACGGCAAAGAAA
Nerophis ophidion (straightnose pipefish) is the source of this 325-nucleotide long non-coding RNA. RefSeq lists it as uncharacterized. NCBI's taxonomy places the organism in Eukaryota, Metazoa, Chordata, Actinopteri, Syngnathiformes, Syngnathidae. The record is from RefSeq and is a predicted model, not a curated record. The transcript has 2 exons.